GACGAACGCUGGCGGCGUGCUUAACACAUGCAAGUCGUACGGUAAGGCCCUUUCGGGGGUACACGAGUGGCGAACGGGUGAGUAACACGUGAGUAACCUGCCCACAACUUUGGGAUAACGCUAGGAAACUGGUGCUAAUACUGGAUAUGUGCUCCUGCUGCAUGGUGGGGGUUGGAAAGCUCCGGCGGUUGUGGAUGGACUCGCGGCCUAUCAGCUUGUUGGUGGGGUAGUGGCCUUCCAAGGCGGCGACGGGUAGCCGGCCUGAGAGGGUGACCGGCCACAUUGGGACUGAGAUACGGCCCAGACGCCUACGGGAGGCAGCAGUGGGGAAUAUUGCACAAUGGGCGCAAGCCUGAUGCAGCAACGCCGCGUGCGGGAUGACGGCCUUCGGGUUGUAAACCGCUUUCAGCAGGGACGAAGCUUUUUGUGACGGUACCUGCAGAAGAAGCACCGGCUAACUACGUG
Molecule: ribosomal RNA, 465 nt
Filed under: uncultured bacterium
Lineage: Bacteria
Description: partial 16S ribosomal RNA
Rfam family: Bacterial small subunit ribosomal RNA
Source: RNAcentral